This 253-nucleotide unclassified non-coding RNA is filed under the name uncultured Flavobacteriaceae bacterium. Its description in RNAcentral is "contains 16S-23S intergenic spacer region". It matches the Rfam family "Bacterial small subunit ribosomal RNA", at positions 524 to 776 of the family's 1533-position model. Lineage: Bacteria; Pseudomonadati; Bacteroidota; Flavobacteriia; Flavobacteriales; Flavobacteriaceae. The record is from RNAcentral.
UACGGAGGAUCCAAGCGUUAUUCGGAAUUAUUGGGUUUAAAGGGUCCGUAGGCGGGUUAAUAAGUCAGGGGUGAAAGUCUGCAGCUCAACUGUAGAAUUGCCAUUGAUACUGUUAACCUUGAGUCAUUAUGAGGUGGUUAGAAUACGUAGUGUAGCGGUGAAAUGCAUAGAUAUUACAUAGAAUACCGAUUGCGAAGGCAGAUCACUAAUAAUUUACUGACGCUGAGGGACGAAAGCGUAGGUAGAGAACAGG